Molecule: long non-coding RNA, 470 nt
Filed under: Manihot esculenta (cassava)
Lineage: Eukaryota; Viridiplantae; Streptophyta; Magnoliopsida; Malpighiales; Euphorbiaceae
Description: long non-coding RNA (MESC_LNC011320)
Source: RNAcentral
CUCGAUUGACUGGAGUCCCACCAGAGAAUGAGAGACCAGCUGCUCGUCCUCCUGCAUUGCCAAGGGCAAGGUCUCAGAGAUCUAGCAGGGAAGGCAUGUCAAUAGACCCUAGAAGGUCUGUAGACGAGAGCAGAAGAGGUACAGCUAGGGGAGGAAGAUCAGAGGAAAGGAGGGAAGCUAUGGAGACUGAUCCGUCUAUGGAUGAAGGUAUGGGCGAUUCCGAGGGAGGCGUUCAGGCCUCAGGUUAUGGCUAUCCAUCCUUGUUUCAGGAGCCAGAGUAUCCGAUGGAGGGUAUGUCGGAAUACUCUCGUUUUGACCCAUAUCCUACAUUAUCCAAUGUAUCCAUCUUCCCCUACCCAUCCAAGUGCAGCACACCUAGAGCCAAAUGAACCAGUAUUACCACCAGAAUCAGUAGCCCCUGUUGUUGACAGACAUGAACCUAGCUCAUCUGGAGGUAAAGUCCAAAUGAC